This 836-nucleotide ribosomal RNA is filed under the name uncultured archaeon. RNAcentral's name for it is "bacterial SSU rRNA". It matches the Rfam family "Archaeal small subunit ribosomal RNA", at positions 85 to 922 of the family's 1478-position model. The record is from RNAcentral.
ACGGCUCAGUAACACGUAGUCAACCUACCUUAUGGACGGGAAUAACCUCGGGAAACUGAGAAUAAUGCCCGAUAGAACAUUAUGCCUGGAAUGGUUUAUGUUUCAAAUAAUUUAUUGCCGUAGGAUGGGACUGCGGCCUAUCAGUUUGUUGGUGAGGUAAUGGCCCACCAAGACUAUUACAGGUACGGGCUCUGAGAGGAGUAGCCCGGAGAUGGGUACUGAGACACGGACCCAGGCCCUAUGGGGCGCAGCAGGCGAGAAAACUUUGCAAUGUGCGAAAGCACGACAAGGUUAAUCCGAGUGGUUUCUGCUAAAGGAACCUUUUGUCAGUCCUAGAAACACUGAUGAAUAAGGGGUGGGCAAGUUCUGGUGUCAGCCGCCGCGGUAAAACCAGCACCUCAAGUGGUCAGGAUGAUUAUUGGGCCUAAAGCAUCCGUAGCCUGCUUUGUUAGUUUUCGGUUAAAUCCAUACGCUUAACGUAUGGGCUGCCGGAAGUACUGCAAAGCUAGGGAGUGGGAGAGGUAGACGGUACUCGGUAGGAAGGGGUAAAAUCCUUUGAUCUAUUGAUGACCACCUGUGGCGAAGGCGGUCUACCAGAACACGUCCGACGGUGAGGGAUGAAAGCUGGGGGAGCAAACCGGAUUAGAUACCCGGGUAGUCCCAGCUGUAAACUAUGCAAACUCAGUGAUGCAUUGGCUUGAUGCCUAUGCAGUGCUGCAGGGAAGCCGUUAAGUUUGCCGCCUGGGAAGUACGUACGCAAGUAUGAAACUUAAAGGAAUUGGCGGGGGAGCACCACAAGGGGUGAAGCCUGCGGUUCAAUUGGAUUCAACGCCGGG